CCUACGGGAGGCAGCAGUCGGGAAUAUUGCGCAAUGGAGGAAACUCUGACGCAGUGGCGCCGCGUAUAGGAAGAAGGUUUUCGGAUUGUAAACUAUUGUCGUCAGGGGAGAUAAAAGACUGUACCUAAGGAGGAAGCCCCGGCUAAAUAUGUGCCAGCAGCCGCGGUAAUACAUAGGGGGCAAGCGUUAUCCGGAAUUAUUGGGUGUAAAGGGUGCGGAGACGGAAGAACCAGUUGCUGGUGAAAUCCCUCGGCUCAAAUUAGGAACUGCAACCGAAACUGUUCUCCUUGAGUGUCGGAGAGGAAAGUGGAAUGCCUGGUGUAGCGGUGAAAUGCGUAGAUAUUAGGAAGAACACCAGUGGCGAAGGCGACUUUCUGGACGAUAACUGACGUUGAGGCACGAAAGUGUGGGGAGCAAACAGGAUUAGAUACCCUAGUAGUC
This 441-nucleotide ribosomal RNA is filed under the name uncultured bacterium. RNAcentral's name for it is "partial 16S ribosomal RNA". It matches the Rfam family "Bacterial small subunit ribosomal RNA", at positions 338 to 795 of the family's 1533-position model. The record is from RNAcentral.